CCUGAUGCAGCGACGCCGCGUGAUUUAAAAGGCCUUCGGGUUGUAAAAAUCUUUUGUAUGGGAAGAAAAUGACAGUACCAUACGAAUAAGGACCGGCUAAUUACGUGCCAGCAGCCGCGGUAAUACGUAAGGUCCGAGCGUUGUCCGGAAUCAUUGGGCGUAAAGGGUACGUAGGCGGAUAAGCAAGUUAGAAGUGAAAUCCUAUAGCUCAACUAUAGUAAGCUUUUAAAACUGUUCAUCUUGAGGUAUGGAAGGGAAAGUGGAAUUCCUAGUGUAGCGGUGAAAUGCGCAGAUAUUAGGAGGAAUACCGGUGGCGAAGGCGACUUUCUGGCCAUAAACUGACGCUGAGGUACGAAAGCGUGGGUAGCAAACAGGAUUAGAUACCCUGGUAGUCCACGCCGUAAACGAUGAGUGUUAGGUGUCUGGAAUAAUCUGGGUGCCGCAGCUAACGCAAUAAACACUCCGCCUGGGGAGUACGCACGCAAGUGUGAAACUCAAAGGAAAU
RNAcentral lists this ribosomal RNA (505 nucleotides) under uncultured bacterium. RNAcentral describes it as "bacterial SSU rRNA". It matches the Rfam family "Bacterial small subunit ribosomal RNA", at positions 382 to 911 of the family's 1533-position model. The record is from RNAcentral.